ACCGUAGCGCAUGGCUACAGGGUACAGCGAGUUUAGUAUCGCACAGGUGGCAGCUGUUAAAAGAAAACUGCUGUUGGGAGUCCGUAGGUUUGCGGUAGAGGUCAGUGGAGAUGACCCCGUCGGUUAAUGUCACCUGAACGUCGAGAAAGAUAACUGUUACAGUGUAAUAUGAAUGAGUAAAUUUGAUGGAAGGGUGAACUUGGUUGAUGUCGUUAAUAAAUUCAUUUAGGUCGUCCUCUGAAUGCGGCCGUAUCAUGAAAAUGGCAUCAAGGAAGCGGUUGUAGAAGGUUGGCUUUUUCUCACGUUUGGACAAAAAAGUUUCUUCUAGGAAUCCCAUAAAAAUGUUGGCGUAACUCGGCGCCAUCUUGAUGCCCAUGGUCGUUCCGUUAACUUGUAAGUAGUGCUUGCCAUCGAAUUCAAAGUCAUUGUUUUUGAAAAUUAGAUUGAGAAAAGUGGAAAGAACAAUGGGGUCAAAUGCAUGGCCUGAGUAUUUUUGGAAUGCCUCCUCUGCUGCGAGGAUACGGUCGUCGUGCGGGAUGUUGGUGUAGAGAGAGGACACGUCUAGCGUAACUAAUAUGCUCGAAGGGGAAGGUUCACACUCCGUUUGUAAUUCGAGAAAAUGGGUUGUGUUCUUAAAGGUCAGAUAUGCAGAUUUUGAAGUGCCGCAGAACUGAGCGAUACUCGCGCUGUGUGUUCAUUACCGAACACUGAAUAUGUGUGCAAAAUAUCUUGCUCCAACUGUUCGUAGUUUUUUAGAAAACAGUUUUUUUAGUUCCCACACCCGGCCGUCAGACCGUCGGUAAACCCUGCGCACGGGCGCACCGACGUCACUGCUCUCGGUUUAUCUGUCUUUGGCUUGGGAUGGACUCUUGGCUUGGCCGCUUGGCUUCUUUCGUUUCGUCCUUUGUGCAUCGUACAUAAGCGAACAGCUGGUAUGUUGUUGCUAAGCCGGAAACAAAGCAUGUGAAUAUUUUUUUGGCACGGCGUCGUUUGGAAAGUGCACUUCCUUGUUCUGACCUUGCCUUUUAUGGGCUGGAGCGAUAUGAUACGUAAUAUGCCACGGCGAAGUUGUCGAAGAUACGACGGUUCUACGGUGUUAGAACAAUUAAUCGGAGCAUUCAAGUGUUACCUAUUAUAAGCUGCCAGAAGUGCGAAGCUCUUGGCUGACAGUGGUGCCUGCUAAUGUCCACUGCAAGGAUUUCGUCCACGAACGUUAUCAUAGGUUACGCGCGUCUCCAGAGGCACUUUGGAAUCUCGGCACGAAAUCGUCUGAUGAAAAUCUCAGGUGCCCCACGCACAACGUUUUGAACGUGUCACGGAGGAUCAAGGCAAAAAACGAGAGCAAAAAAGGUAAGUCGAGGUUCAGAUAUAAAAAAUAGCAAGCUUAAUGAAUCGAUUGUGCAGCUGUCCGACUGCGCUUACUCUGAUAUAACCACGAUUAGCAACACAAUAGUAUUGAUAAUCUAACUUCUGAAUUACCAGGUGCACGCUGAAGGCGGAAAUGAAGCAUGAUCUGGCUUGUAUCUGGUGCAUGAAGAAAUGGCUGACACGUUAGUUGCAGUCUACCUCCACCAAUAGACAUCUUGACACCACUUUUAAAUCUGCCCUCAAAGUUACAACCUGCGCUUUCAGGGUGGAAAACAAAGGUCGCCAUCCAGAUUAGCUGCUAUCUCCCAGUUCAAGCACUUUUGCUGUCUGGACACUGGUUCCUGUGGACGGGGUGUUACAAGCUUCACUGUCUGAUAUAGAAGUGAUGAGCAUCCAUAAGGACACAUG
This is a long non-coding RNA of Ornithodoros turicata, 1776 nucleotides long. RefSeq lists it as uncharacterized. The record is from RefSeq and is a predicted model, not a curated record. The transcript has 3 exons. NCBI's taxonomy places the organism in Eukaryota, Metazoa, Arthropoda, Arachnida, Ixodida, Argasidae.